Molecule: ribosomal RNA, 424 nt
Filed under: uncultured bacterium
Lineage: Bacteria
Description: bacterial SSU rRNA
Rfam family: Bacterial small subunit ribosomal RNA
Source: RNAcentral
UGAGGAAUAUUGGUCAAUGGGCGCAAGCCUGAACCAGCCAUGCCGCGUGCAGGAAGAAUGCCCUAUGGGUUGUAAACUGCUUUUAUCAGGGAAUAAACCUAUUUACGUGUAGAUAGCUGAAGGUACCUGAUGAAUAAGCACCGGCUAACUCCGUGCCAGCAGCCGCGGUAAUACGGAGGGUGCAAGCGUUAUCCGGAAUCAUUGGGUUUAAAGGGUCCGCAGGCGGAAAUAUAAGUCAGUGGUGAAAUCUCAUAGCUUAACUAUGAAACUGCCAUUGAUACUGUAUUUCUUGAAUUCGGUCGAAGUGGGCGGAAUAUGACAUGUAGCGGUGAAAUGCAUAGAUAUGUCAUAGAACACCGAUAGCGAAGGCAGCUCACUAGGCCUGGAUUGACGCUCAGGGACGAAAGCGUGGGGAGCAAACAGG